GUCUAUGGCCAUACUACCCUGAACGUGUCCAAUCUCGUCUGAUCUCAGAAGCUAAGCAGGGUUGGGACUGGUUAGUACUUGAAUGGAAGACAGAUCUUCAAAAGAGACUGUUCAGAGACA
RNAcentral lists this ribosomal RNA (120 nucleotides) under Castor canadensis (American beaver). Lineage: Eukaryota; Metazoa; Chordata; Mammalia; Rodentia; Castoridae. The record is from RNAcentral.